Molecule: unclassified non-coding RNA, 627 nt
Filed under: Bradyrhizobium sp. STM 3108
Lineage: Bacteria; Pseudomonadati; Pseudomonadota; Alphaproteobacteria; Hyphomicrobiales; Nitrobacteraceae
Also listed under: 1 other name
Description: partial 16S-23S ribosomal RNA intergenic spacer
Rfam family: tRNA (bases 57-129)
Source: RNAcentral
GUUCAGUCUUCCCAGGCCCACCACACUCAUCGGGUAAGCAUUCGUCUUCUGGUUACGGGGCCAUAGCUCAGCUGGGAGAGCGCGUGCUUUGCAAGCAUGAGGUCGUCGGUUCGAUCCCGUCUGGCUCCACCAGAUGGUUUGAUCACCGACGCUGUGUUUGCAGCUAUUCAACCGUCGUCCGCGAAACAUCACUUCGCACCUACUAGUCUGGAUAGACAGUAGGUUGCGUGAUUUCUGACAUCGUAAAGAGGAGAUCGAUCCGAGUUGGAUCGGGCAGCAAGCAAUUGCUGCGCGAACCUUCAUUAUCUCCGGAUCAUUUCGGCGCUCGCGCGCCUUUCAAUGCGGCUCACAAGGCUGCGUCUGAGGGGAAUGCGGGUUGUAAAUGAUCCUUUUAGCGAAGCUUGACCGCCUCGCUAUCGGAACGAUCUUACGAAGCAAGCUGGUCUUUCUAAUCAUUGUCCGGCUGUACGUAGCGUUCAUCGAGGGCGCGUGCCGCAAGGCAAUCGUACAGACAACAUUCUGCCGAGUGUGUGGACAUUGAUAAUGAGAGCAAUCAAGUGCCUUAAGGGUGUUCGGUGGAUGCCUUGGCGCUGAGAGGCGAUGAAGGACGUGCUACGCUGCGAUAAG